RNAcentral lists this ribosomal RNA (460 nucleotides) under uncultured bacterium. Its description in RNAcentral is "partial 16S ribosomal RNA". It matches the Rfam family "Bacterial small subunit ribosomal RNA", at positions 338 to 795 of the family's 1533-position model. The record is from RNAcentral.
CCUACGGGAGGCAGCAGUGAGGAAUAUUGGUCAAUGGACGAGAGUCUGAACCAGCCAAGUAGCGUGAAGGAUGACUGCCCUAUGGGUUGUAAACUUCUUUUAUAUGGGAAUAAAAUGUUCCACGUGUGGGAUUUUGUAUGUACCAUAUGAAUAAGGAUCGGCUAACUCCGUGCCAGCAGCCGCGGUAAUACGGAGGAUCCGAGCGUUAUCCGGAUUUAUUGGGUGUAAAGGGAGCGUAGGUGGAUUGUUAAGUCAGUUGUGAAAGUUUGCGGCUCAACCGUAAAAUUGCAGUUGAAACUGGCAGUCUUGAGUACAGUAGAGGUGGGCGGAAUUCGUGGUGUAGUGGUGAAAUGCUUAGAUAUCACGAAGAACUCCGAUUGCGAAGGCAGUUCACUGGACUGCAACUGACACUGAGGCUCGAAAGUGUGGGUAUCAAACAGGAUUAGAUACCCUUGUAGUC